RNAcentral lists this ribosomal RNA (3606 nucleotides) under Triticum aestivum (bread wheat). Its description in RNAcentral is "partial small subunit ribosomal RNA". Lineage: Eukaryota; Viridiplantae; Streptophyta; Magnoliopsida; Poales; Poaceae. The record is from RNAcentral.
AUGAUGCAAAUUCCUCUGCUGAAGUAUGUUGACAGGAACAAAAAUGUCUCUGUCUGGAGCAUAUCCAGAGCUAGUCAGUGGAGUGAUAGACUGUGUAUUGCAUCUGAUGGGAAGUGGAUGUCAUGGCUUAUCAGCUGGAACCAGGAGUUUCCAUCUUCUAACCGCCUUUUUGUGUCUCCCCGUACACAAACAGCUCUGCAAGGUUUCGCGCAGAAGGAAAAAGUGACAUACUGGCUUCAGAGCCAUGCAAAAGUGGAGGUUGUAUCUGUAUACAAUUUCGGGAAUAUUGUGGUUAAAUCCUUUAACUAUGAUAGAAGGCCUGCCAUUGCUUUUUCUCACUUUCUAUACCAUUCAUCCAAUAAGAAUUACAUGGAGAGCUACCAGUUAGCAGACCUGUGUCAUAUCAUGCCGGUAAUUGACAACUAUGGCAAUGCCGUCACGGAACGACAAAGCAUUCUAGUUCCUGCAAAUGGUAGCAAAUGGGUUGGACUGAUGGGCAUAAACCCAUGGAGGAAUGAGAAAUACAUCAAACUGUCAGCAGAUUACAAGUCAGCAGGUCAUUUCGCCGGGAACUACACACCUAAAGAUCAGAUCUUGGAUUUUCUCAAGACAAAGGUGCAGGCCUCAGAUGUGCCGUUCAUACACCCCCCAAAUGCAAGUUUUCCUACAGCAUCGUCACAUCUGACUGUGGACAAUGCAAUCUUGCUACUGCAAUGGAUACGCAAUUUGAAGUCAAAAGGUGUACAACUACCAGCUAGUUUCUUGGCUUCUGUGAAAGAAGGAAGUUGGCUGAAGACAUCAGUCGGAUACAAGCACCCGGCUGAAUCAUUUAUGUCCAGUUCUGAGUGGGGUAAUCUCUUGCAAAAUGGGUCUUCCUGUGUUGAUAUACCAAUGAUCGGUCAACAGUUCUAUCAAAACAAAAUGCAUGCGUACAAGGAGGAACUUCAGGUGAUCGGGGUAAGAUUUGAAUUUGGGGAGGCAUCCGCUUACAUCGGCAGACGGCUCAUGUCGAUGGCUGCAAGCAAUAUGCUGACCAGACAACAUGUAUAUGAGCUGCUUCGGCUGAUUCGGUUUCUUCAACAGAAGGUUCUGUCACCAAGUAAACUAGUCAACAGCGUGAAAGAUGGUCGAUGGAUGAAGAAUACUCUGGGCUACAGGUCUCCUUCUUGUUGUAUAAUAUAUGAUUCAGACUGGGCAGCUGCAUCUUGUAUCAGUACCCAGCCAUUCCUUGAUGUUGGAUUCUAUGGCGAGUCCAUCCUUCACUACAAACAAGAGCUGAAGUUGCUUGGUGUUCAAGUUGGGUUUGAAAACAGUGAAAAGAUUUACAAGCUUGUAAUUGAUAAUUUCAAGUUCAGUUCUUCAUCCAUUACUUCAGAUGCUACUGCACCAAUCCUCAAGUGUAUCCGGUAUGCUAGCCCAUGUGAUGAUUUCUUGAGGAAGCUCAGAGAUUUGAAAUGGCUGAAGACCAACGUAGGAUUCCGUGCUCCUGGUGAAUCUUUUUUUCUGGAUCAGGAGUGGGAGUGCCUUCUAAAGGUGUUCGACGUAGUUCCUAUAGUUGAUUCUUGGUUUUAUGGGAGUAAUAUCAGCCCGUACAAAGAAGAGAUGAAGAAGACAGGGUUGAUCAAAAGAUUUGACCAGGCAUCGAAGGCUGUAGCAAACAUUUUCAAGCAGAUGGUCCUGAAGUCAUCGCUUACAAAGGCAAGUGUCCUGGCUCUUCUAGCUUGUUAUUGGAAGCUGAGAACACGCGACCCAAUUCCUGUUGAUCUUUUCAACUGCAUGCGGAGUGAGAAAUGGCUGUGCACAUCACUGGGAUUCAGGUCACCGUCGGAGGCAAUCUUAUUUGAUGAAGGUUGGCAGUCUCUGUCGCCAAUAGCAAGCUUGCCUUUCAUCAAUGAUGGUGACUCUAAUGGUGGUUUGGGCAAAGAGAUACAUGGUUACAAAGCUGAGCUGAAAGAUUUAGGUGUCACAACAGAAGUGAAGGCUCAUGUUGCUAGGCCUACCGUCACUGGUCUCAACAUUUGUGAUAACCCUGUAGACAUUUCUGCAGCUAGGUUUGUCAUCAGUGGUCUCAACAUUCCCGCAGACCCUGCAGCCAUAUCUGCUGCUACCGUGUUGUCACUGCUUGGAUCUGUCAAGAGCUGGCUAGCCUGUACAGCAACAUUUCCCAAGGAAUUUAUGAAGGAAAUCACUAGCUGCAAGUGGUUGAAGACAACACUUGGAUACCAAUCUCCUGAUGGAAGCAUACUCUUUGACCCAAAGCAGUCUUCCAUCUGCAUAACAGAUGGCCCUUUCAUCGAUGAAUCUUUCUAUGGUUCAGAGAUCGCCUCAUUCAAGGAUGCACUGGCGGCAAUCGGAGUAACUGUGGAUGUUCAAUGUGGGCAUGGCCUUGUUGCUCAGCAUCUGAGGAGCCACAAAGAAACUGCUACCAUCUCCAGGAUCUACUUGUACCUCAAGGAGUGCAGCUGGGGGCCUGAGAAGAACAAAGAGGGUAGUGACUGGAUCUGGAUACCAAAUGAAAAAGGAGGUGGAGAAUGGGUGAGCCCGGUAAGCUGUGUUCUUCAUGAUCAAAACAACCUCUUAAGCCAGCAGAUGCAUGUGUUGGGCAGAUACUAUGAUGACAGGAAGCUGCUGGACUUCUUCUCAUCUAUUCUCCGCGUGAGGCAUGGCCCCAAUGCCGAAGACCACUGCAAGCUCUGGAGCGCAUGGGAGAGCUAUGGCGGUGAGAUAUCCGUAACCAAUUGCUCUGCUUUAUGGCAAUUCACCGCAAGGAACUGGAGCAAGAACACGGAGAAGCUUCUCUCUGGCUGCAUGAAGGUCCCGGUUUGCACUGAUGGGAAGAUCAUCUUAUCGCAGAAGGAGGACGUGUUCAUUCCUGAUGAUCUUCUGCUUAAGGAUCUGUUCGACAAGCUUCCUCGACAAUCCAUUUUUAUCUGGUACCCGCCUUCCAUCUCUCGAGCAAGGCUCAACAACGUGUAUGGCAGCAUCGGUGUUCAGGCAGUAUCCAAAGCCGCCGAGAAGAGCGAUUCUUUUGUUGCCUUGGGCCAGGAUGGCAGUUGCAAAACGGUUGCUGGCCAGCGUGAGGUGAUCAGUGCCGGUCUGGUCCAGAUAGUCCUUGCUUUCCUUGCUGAUCCAGCUCUUGACAUUGCUUCCAAAGAGCGGCACACCAUGGUCUCUCGCCUGCUGAAUGUGAGCAUCCUGGAGACAACGAAGCCGAUCACGAUGGGGUACCGCGUGAAGCUGUCCUCUGGAGAGGCUGUGGACGUGGAGGCCAGCCAGAUGAUCAGGUGGGAGAGGGAGAGCUCAAAGCUGUAUGUUCAGCAAAGCAAUGGUGCUGGUGCUGCAGCUGGUUACAAAGAGAAGAUCAAGUUUGCGACGAACUUUGCUGACGAGGUAGCCCGAGGACUGCUCUUCGAGACGCCGGACCGCAUCCCUUGGCUUGCUGAACUCGUGAAGGUCGGCAGCCUGGUGGACUUCCAGGAUGAUGUUGUUAAGUACCUGCUGAAGUCGAAGAAUCUGCAGCUGUUCCCUGAAGACGAGGCGUUCCUGAACGCUGCAUCACUAGGUCUGUCCCUCCCUGACAAACUCAGAGAGUUCAUCUCACUAUAG